AACCCAUGAUGAGGGAACCUUCUCAAUAAAUCAUUAUACCUUUUUCAUGCAUCAUAUAAGGUUUCUAAGUCGAUUUGAACAAAGGAAGAGAUAUCAUUCCUCAACUU
This 107-nucleotide small nucleolar RNA is filed under the name Gossypium hirsutum (cotton). RNAcentral describes it as "Plant small nucleolar RNA R71". It matches the Rfam family "Plant small nucleolar RNA R71". From Rfam's summary of the family: R71 is a member of the C/D box family of snoRNAs containing the C (UGAUGA) and D (CUGA) box motifs. Multiple nearly identical copies of this snoRNA have been identified in Arabidopsis, and it is thought to function as a 2'-O-ribose methylation guide for 18S ribosomal RNA. The record is from Rfam by way of RNAcentral. Lineage: Eukaryota; Viridiplantae; Streptophyta; Magnoliopsida; Malvales; Malvaceae.